This 425-nucleotide ribosomal RNA is filed under the name uncultured Lachnospiraceae bacterium. Its description in RNAcentral is "bacterial SSU rRNA". It matches the Rfam family "Bacterial small subunit ribosomal RNA", at positions 354 to 796 of the family's 1533-position model. Lineage: Bacteria; Bacillati; Bacillota; Clostridia; Lachnospirales; Lachnospiraceae. The record is from RNAcentral.
GUGGGGAAUAUUGCACAAUGGAGGAAACUCUGAUGCAGCGACGCCGCGUGAAGGAUGAAGUAUUUCGGUAUGUAAACUUCUAUCAGCAGGGAAGAAAAUGACGGUACCUGACUAAGAAGCCCCGGCUAACUACGUGCCAGCAGCCGCGGUAAUACGUAGGGGGCAAGCGUUAUCCGGAUUUACUGGGUGUAAAGGGAGCGUAGACGGCACGGCAAGCCAGAUGUGAAAGCCCGGGGCUCAACCCCGGGACUGCAUUUGGAACUGCUGAGCUAGAGUGUCGGAGAGGCAAGUGGAAUUCCUAGUGUAGCGGUGAAAUGCGUAGAUAUUAGGAGGAACACCAGUGGCGAAGGCGGCUUGCUGGACGAUGACUGACGUUGAGGCUCGAAAGCGUGGGGAGCAAACAGGAUUAGAAACCCGAGUAGUCC